RNAcentral lists this ribosomal RNA (497 nucleotides) under uncultured bacterium. RNAcentral describes it as "partial 16S ribosomal RNA". It matches the Rfam family "Bacterial small subunit ribosomal RNA", at positions 28 to 507 of the family's 1533-position model. The record is from RNAcentral.
GAUGAACGCUGGCGGCGUGCCUAAUACAUGCAAGUCGAGCGAACAGACGAGGAGCUUGCUCCUCUGACGUUAGCGGCGGACGGGUGAGUAACACGUGGAUAACCUACCUAUAAGACUGGGAUAACUUCGGGAAACCGGAGCUAAUACCGGAUAAUAUAUUGAACCGCAUGGUUCAAUAGUGAAAGACGGUUUUGCUGUCACUUAUAGAUGGAUCCGCGCCGCAUUAGCUAGUUGGUAAGGUAACGGCUUACCAAGGCGACGAUGCGUAGCCGACCUGAGAGGGUGAUCGGCCACACUGGAACUGAGACACGGUCCAGACUCCUACGGGCGGCAGCAGUAGGGAAUCUUCCGCAAUGGGCGAAAGCCUGACGGAGCAACGCCGCGUGAGUGAUGAAGGUCUUCGGAUCGUAAAACUCUGUUAUUAGGGAAGAACAAAUGUGUAAGUAACUAUGCACGUCUUGACGGUACCUAAUCAGAAAGCCACGGCUAACUACGUG